RNAcentral lists this ribosomal RNA (403 nucleotides) under bacterium. Its description in RNAcentral is "partial 16S ribosomal RNA". It matches the Rfam family "Bacterial small subunit ribosomal RNA", at positions 355 to 776 of the family's 1533-position model. The record is from RNAcentral.
UGGGGAAUCUUGCACAAUGGGGGAAACCCUGAUGCAGCGACGCCGCGUGAGCGAUGAAGGUUUUCGAAUCGUAAAGCUCUGUCCUAUGGGAAGAUAAUGACGGUACCAUAGGAGGAAGCCCCGGCUAACUACGUGCCAGCAGCCGCGGUAAUACGUAGGGGGCGAGCGUUGUCCGGAAUUACUGGGCGUAAAGGGUUCGCAGGCGGCAUGACAAGUCCGAUGUAAAAGGCGAAAGCUCAACUGUCGUAAGCAUCGGAAACUGUCAAGCUUGAGUGAAGGAGAGGCAAGUGGAAUUCCUAGUGUAGCGGUGGAAUGCGUAGAUAUUAGGAGGAAUACCGGUGGCGAAGGCGACUUGCUGGACUUCAACUGACGCUGAGGAACGAAAGCGUGGGUAGCAAACAGG